RNAcentral lists this ribosomal RNA (2385 nucleotides) under Escherichia coli. RNAcentral describes it as "partial 23S ribosomal RNA". It matches the Rfam family "Bacterial large subunit ribosomal RNA", at positions 418 to 2789 of the family's 2925-position model. The record is from RNAcentral. Lineage: Bacteria; Pseudomonadati; Pseudomonadota; Gammaproteobacteria; Enterobacterales; Enterobacteriaceae.
CGGGACACGUGGUAUCCUGUCUGAAUAUGGGGGGACCAUCCUCCAAGGCUAAAUACUCCUGACUGACCGAUAGUGAACCAGUACCGUGAGGGAAAGGCGAAAAGAACCCCGGCGAGGGGAGUGAAAAAGAACCUGAAACCGUGUACGUACAAGCAGUGGGAGCACGCUUAGGCGUGUGACUGCGUACCUUUUGUAUAAUGGGUCAGCGACUUAUAUUCUGUAGCAAGGUUAACCGAAUAGGGGAGCCGAAGGGAAACCGAGUCUUAACUGGGCGUUAAGUUGCAGGGUAUAGACCCGAAACCCGGUGAUCUAGCCAUGGGCAGGUUGAAGGUUGGGUAACACUAACUGGAGGACCGAACCGACUAAUGUUGAAAAAUUAGCGGAUGACUUGUGGCUGGGGGUGAAAGGCCAAUCAAACCGGGAGAUAGCUGGUUCUCCCCGAAAGCUAUUUAGGUAGCGCCUCGUGAAUUCAUCUCCGGGGGUAGAGCACUGUUUCGGCAAGGGGGUCAUCCCGACUUACCAACCCGAUGCAAACUGCGAAUACCGGAGAAUGUUAUCACGGGAGACACACGGCGGGUGCUAACGUCCGUCGUGAAGAGGGAAACAACCCAGACCGCCAGCUAAGGUCCCAAAGUCAUGGUUAAGUGGGAAACGAUGUGGGAAGGCCCAGACAGCCAGGAUGUUGGCUUAGAAGCAGCCAUCAUUUAAAGAAAGCGUAAUAGCUCACUGGUCGAGUCGGCCUGCGCGGAAGAUGUAACGGGGCUAAACCAUGCACCGAAGCUGCGGCAGCGACACUAUGUGUUGUUGGGUAGGGGAGCGUUCUGUAAGCCUGUGAAGGUGUACUGUGAGGUAUGCUGGAGGUAUCAGAAGUGCGAAUGCUGACAUAAGUAACGAUAAAGCGGGUGAAAAGCCCGCUCGCCGGAAGACCAAGGGUUCCUGUCCAACGUUAAUCGGGGCAGGGUGAGUCGACCCCUAAGGCGAGGCCGAAAGGCGUAGUCGAUGGGAAACAGGUUAAUAUUCCUGUACUUGGUGUUACUGCGAAGGGGGGACGGAGAAGGCUAUGUUGGCCGGGCGACGGUUGUCCCGGUUUAAGCGUGUAGGCUGGUUUUCCAGGCAAAUCCGGAAAAUCAAGGCUGAGGCGUGAUGACGAGGCACUACGGUGCUGAAGCAACAAAUGCCCUGCUUCCAGGAAAAGCCUCUAAGCAUCAGGUAACAUCAAAUCGUACCCCAAACCGACACAGGUGGUCAGGUAGAGAAUACCAAGGCGCUUGAGAGAACUCGGGUGAAGGAACUAGGCAAAAUGGUGCCGUAACUUCGGGAGAAGGCACGCUGAUAUGUAGGUGAAGUCCCUCGCGGAUGGAGCUGAAAUCAGUCGAAGAUACCAGCUGGCUGCAACUGUUUAUUAAAAACACAGCACUGUGCAAACACGAAAGUGGACGUAUACGGUGUGACGCCUGCCCGGUGCCGGAAGGUUAAUUGAUGGGGUUAGCGCAAGCGAAGCUCUUGAUCGAAGCCCCGGUAAACGGCGGCCGUAACUAUAACGGUCCUAAGGUAGCGAAAUUCCUUGUCGGGUAAGUUCCGACCUGCACGAAUGGCGUAAUGAUGGCCAGGCUGUCUCCACCCGAGACUCAGUGAAAUUGAACUCGCUGUGAAGAUGCAGUGUACCCGCGGCAAGACGGAAAGACCCCGUGAACCUUUACUAUAGCUUGACACUGAACAUUGAGCCUUGAUGUGUAGGAUAGGUGGGAGGCUUUGAAGUGUGGACGCCAGUCUGCAUGGAGCCGACCUUGAAAUACCACCCUUUAAUGUUUGAUGUUCUAACGUUGACCCGUGAUCCGGGUUGCGGACAGUGUCUGGUGGGUAGUUUGACUGGGGCGGUCUCCUCCUAAAGAGUAACGGAGGAGCACGAAGGUUGGCUAAUCCUGGUCGGACAUCAGGAGGUUAGUGCAAUGGCAUAAGCCAGCUUGACUGCGAGCGUGACGGCGCGAGCAGGUGCGAAAGCAGGUCAUAGUGAUCCGGUGGUUCUGAAUGGAAGGGCCAUCGCUCAACGGAUAAAAGGUACUCCGGGGAUAACAGGCUGAUACCGCCCAAGAGUUCAUAUCGACGGCGGUGUUUGGCACCUCGAUGUCGGCUCAUCACAUCCUGGGGCUGAAGUAGGUCCCAAGGGUAUGGCUGUUCGCCAUUUAAAGUGGUACGCGAGCUGGGUUUAGAACGUCGUGAGACAGUUCGGUCCCUAUCUGCCGUGGGCGCUGGAGAACUGAGGGGGGCUGCUCCUAGUACGAGAGGACCGGAGUGGACGCAUCACUGGUGUUCGGGUUGUCAUGCCAAUGGCACUGCCCGGUAGCUAAAUGCGGAAGAGAUAAGUGCUGAAAGCAUCUAAGCACG